This 403-nucleotide ribosomal RNA is filed under the name uncultured bacterium. Its description in RNAcentral is "partial 16S ribosomal RNA". It matches the Rfam family "Bacterial small subunit ribosomal RNA", at positions 28 to 526 of the family's 1533-position model. The record is from RNAcentral.
GACGAACGCUGGCGGCGUGCCUAAUACAUGCAAGUCGAACGCAGUGGGGACGGGUGAGUAACACGUGGGUAACCUCCCAUCAGAGGGGAUAACACUUGGAAACAGGUGCUAAACCGAUACUGAUGGAUGGAGCCGCGGUGGAUUAGCUAGUUGGUGAGGUAACGGCCCACCAAGGCCACGAUGCAUAGCCGGCCUUAGAGGGUGAUCAGCCACACUGGGACUGAGACACGGCCCAGACUCCUACGGGAGGCAGCAGUAGGGAAUCUUGGGCAAUGGGCGAAAGUCUGACCGAGCCACGCCGCGUGAGUGAAGAAGGUUUUCGGAUCGUAAAGCUCUGUUGGUAGAGAGGCGGUAUCUAACCAAGAAGCAACGGCUAACUACGUGCCAGCAGCCGCGGUAAUUC